UGUCAAGGAAAAAUAUCCACA
Molecule: non-coding RNA, 21 nt
Filed under: Caenorhabditis elegans
Lineage: Eukaryota; Metazoa; Nematoda; Chromadorea; Rhabditida; Rhabditidae
Source: RNAcentral